UAUUAAAAAAAUUCAUUUAUUUGUACUAUUAAAAACUGGCGUAAUUGUUAGAAUAAUCAUAUAGUGACACGUGACGUACCACAUGUAUCUCAUGUUGAUGUACAAGGGUUAGUUUCUAACAAUAAAAACUGAUGAAAUUUUUAACA
Gossypium hirsutum (cotton) is the source of this 146-nucleotide non-coding RNA. The record is from Rfam. NCBI's taxonomy places the organism in Eukaryota, Viridiplantae, Streptophyta, Magnoliopsida, Malvales, Malvaceae.